AGUAGCAAACAAUUUAUUUGGAUUCACACAGGGAAGGAGAGGUAGGGGUGUCAGGCAAGGAAAGUGGGGAGUAGGAAACCCUAAUACUUGUGUCCUCUGGAAGACUGCCUCCCCCAAGUUCUUGGGGUUCAAGACUAUUCCUCAGGCUUUUAAUUCAGGAGUCCAGGAACAGGUCAGGGAGAGAGAAAAUUUCAGGGAAAGAUCUGGAUGGCUCUGGCCAGAGUGAGUCCAAAUACAAAACCCCCUUGAGAAUUCAGGUAGCUAUUCUUUAAGAGUCUUAGUGGAGGCAUUUUUGAGUCCCAGAAGGAAUAACAGGUCCCAAAUGGAUAGGCUCUUUCUCAGCUUCCAGGAAAAACACCUUCCUACUUCCCUCCUAGGCUGAAAGACCAUUGACAGUUGGAGCUUCAGAGUUCUAAUUCCUUUAGAACUCCCCGGCUUCUCUCUCUGCCCUCCUCUGCUGCUCCUCAGCUGAUCUAUCUUUCAGCCUGGCUUGUCAUUGGAACCCCUUGGAUCUCUCUUUCUUACAUUUCAAUGGAAAUCACCAUCUGCUUCAGGAAGUGGAAUCGAAGGUUGAAGAGCUGACAAUAUCAUAUGUUUGGAGAUCCUUUAUUUGCAGCAGUACACAUAAGAAAGGAAAGAGUGAUGGGAAGGCAAGAGAAGGGAAGGGAAAAAGAAGGGAAGAGAAAGGAAGGCCUCAGCUCUUACUGGAUUUAAGUUCAGAAGAAAGGUUGGCUUAAGACUGUGGAGAGCCUUGAAUAUAAACCCAAGAUAUUUUUAACUGUAUGCUAUGGACAACAGGAUGCUAUUUAAGAAAAUUAAAUUGAGAGAGAAAAUACUUAGUACCUAUCUGCCUCCAAUUUGUAUUUCUUCCUUCUUUUUAAAAUUCACCUUCAAUAAACAUAUAUUAAGUAUCUACCCA
Molecule: long non-coding RNA, 919 nt
Filed under: Monodelphis domestica (gray short-tailed opossum)
Lineage: Eukaryota; Metazoa; Chordata; Mammalia; Didelphimorphia; Didelphidae
Description: lncRNA (ENSMODG00000042062.1)
Source: RNAcentral